This 71-nucleotide transfer RNA is filed under the name Strongylocentrotus purpuratus (purple sea urchin). Its description in RNAcentral is "tRNA-Gly (GCC) (tRNA-Gly-GCC-12-1)". It matches the Rfam family "tRNA". Rfam says of the family: Transfer RNA (tRNA) molecules are approximately 80 nucleotides in length. The record is from Rfam by way of RNAcentral. Lineage: Eukaryota; Metazoa; Echinodermata; Echinoidea; Camarodonta; Strongylocentrotidae.
GCAUCGGUGGUUCAGUGGUAGAAUUCUCGCCUGCCACGCGGGUGACCCGGGUUCGAUUCCCGGCCGAUUUA